GUCUACAGCUAUGCCACCCUGAACAAGCCCAAUCCCGUCUGAUCUCAGAAGCUAAGCAGGGGCCAGCCUGGUUAGUACUUAGAUGGGAGACCACCUAGAAAGACCAGGUGCUGUAGGUG
This 119-nucleotide ribosomal RNA is filed under the name Pteropus alecto (black flying fox). The record is from RNAcentral. Lineage: Eukaryota; Metazoa; Chordata; Mammalia; Chiroptera; Pteropodidae.